UCUCGGAAGAUUUUAAACUUAUCAUUGGACCAUGCAAGUUUUGUAGCUGGAUAAGUGUUUAUGGCUUAAAAUACUACGGUUGUCCAAAGAUUGCAAAAUGGAUACAACUAAUCUAGUAGUACUACUACUGGUAUGGUCAGUUUUGGCAGUGGCGGGUCAAAAUAUUUUCAGUGAAGAUAGUGUGAUGGAAAGAUGUCCUCUUACAAAUACUGAGAAUCUAGAGUAUUUCAUAAACUUUACUGCCAAAAAAAUGAUCCUUUCUCAUUUAAAUCUGAUGGAGGCCCAGAUGAAUAAAUACAGAAUAGAGUUGAGCGAUCUAAAAACCCAAAUCACCGAGAAAAUUAAGAAUUUGCCUGAAGAUGAUCCAACAGAAGCUGCAAAAAUAGGUACGCCUUCACAGCCCUAGAAGAAAGAACGAAAAUAUUAUCGAACAGAUUACAUUUAUUAUUCAAAUACCCUUGCCUAUAUUAUAAAAA
Saccostrea cuccullata (small rock oyster) is the source of this 476-nucleotide long non-coding RNA. RefSeq lists it as uncharacterized. NCBI's taxonomy places the organism in Eukaryota, Metazoa, Mollusca, Bivalvia, Ostreida, Ostreidae. The transcript is spliced from 2 exons. The record is from RefSeq and is a predicted model, not a curated record.